CUAUACCUGAAAAUUUUAUCAACUGUAGUUUUAGUGGUUCUAUUUUUAUGGUGUGUUAAUUCUACUUAUUUUUGCCCAUGCUGUCUUGAUCUCAUUUACUGGUUUAGUUUUUUAUUGUUUUUCAGACACUAUCUUGACAAAAUUGUUUGUAAAAAAAUGUAAGGUCUAUGGUAAUAUUUUCUUUCAAAGAAUACUCCAUUUAUGUCAAAGUGCAGUAAUAGUUUGGAUAGCCAGCAAUUGUUUUUUGUGGGUCCAUGCAAAUGACUGAAAGCGGGACUGCAGUCUGUGUGAGGAUAUGUUACUUCUGAUUCACUCUAAUCCUUUUGGAGUUCCCAGAUGAACUUGUGAGGGCCUUUGUUGGAGCACCAAUCCUUCAUGGAUUUUGGCUUCUAAUAUGAAACUUCCAAAAGUACCACUUAACCUCUCCUCCGUCUCUCCUGGAAUUGGUGAAUACCCUCAGGGGUCUAGCAACCACAAGUGAUACGUUUACUUUUCUGGAUAUAUCUGUCAUAGAUCUUGCCUAUGUAAUUCUUCACUAUAAUAUUAGUUCUCAUGUAUUCAAGUAGAUAAUUUUAAUAUAGUAUAUAUUUUUUCAGGCUUUUCUAAUUGGUCUAGGUGGGAGAGUUUAUCUGAUUUGCCUAUCAUGGUGGCUGAGGAAUUCCAAUUUUCCUUUCUUUUCUUUUUUUGUGAAACAUUUUUGAUUGGAAAACAAUUCAUAAAGCAGUGUGGAAGGUAAAUUGGAGGAGGGGAGGUUAUGUAUGGCUACCACCAAAUUGGUUCCAAAGUGGAUGUGUUAGUUGACACUUUCACUAGUAUUAUAUGAGAGUUCCAGUUGUUCCUUGAUUAUUUUUUUAGCCUUGUCCACCUGGCAAGGAAUUCUUGAAAAAUCUGUUUGCAAGAAAAUGAAUUAUAUCUUCCUUAUAGGCGCUGUGCAUCUGAUAUGUGGAUGGAAAGCAAUGUGGACUGGUGGGAUGGGGGACUUCUUAUGGGAAAAUACAGUUCAAAGAACAGAAGAAAUAUAGAGGAAGAGGUAAGUAAUUGCAGCUAAAGAAGAAGGGAUAAGGCAACUUUUGUUGAGGCCAUGACAUCAAUGCUGGGUCGUGAAGAAUAAGUUCUUCAGUAGAGAAAAUGUUUCAGGCAGAGGGCACAGCUUGCACAAAGGCAGAAAUCAACAUGGUAAUGUAGUGACUGGUAUGUAUGUAUGUGCACACAUGUGUACCUAGGGAAUAAGAGGUGGAGCUGGAAAGGUAGGCAGGGAAUGGAAUAAGAAAGGACUUUUAUAUGUGCAGGGCAACGUGGACACUGGUCUAGUCCUAUGAUUACAGACAGUGCUCCAAGAGCAAUUUCUGGUGGUGCCAGUAAAGAGGGCUUUGGGACUCAUCUUCAUUUCAGCCAGGGU
Molecule: long non-coding RNA, 1399 nt
Filed under: Felis catus (domestic cat)
Lineage: Eukaryota; Metazoa; Chordata; Mammalia; Carnivora; Felidae
Description: lncRNA (ENSFCAG00000050650.1)
Source: RNAcentral